RNAcentral lists this long non-coding RNA (1398 nucleotides) under Heterocephalus glaber (naked mole-rat). Its description in RNAcentral is "lncRNA (ENSHGLG00000035919.1)". The record is from RNAcentral. Lineage: Eukaryota; Metazoa; Chordata; Mammalia; Rodentia; Bathyergidae.
UGAUUCUAAGAACAGUGUGUGGGGGAAGGUGAGGACAGGAGCCCCAGGUUAAGAAGAGGGGGUAAAGCAGAGGGCCUGAAUGGGAGUCUAUGGAGUUUUGGGGUCUGAGAACAUUUGGGUGAUGUAUCUGGUGAGGAAUAAAUAAUGUGAGAAAGGAUGUGGUCAGCGGGGCUAUGUGGCCAGCAAUGCAGGAAAUCAGAAGAGAUGGCCUAGCUUGGUAAUUUUCCUCUAAGUACCUUGUAGGGGCCAUCAGAAGAUCCAGGGGCAAGAGGAGUUGCUCCUGGGUGCUGGCAGGAGACUGGAACUGGAAGCAAGAAAGAGAUGAGGAGGAAGAAUCAGGUACAAGGAGAAACUUGGGGAAGGACACAAGAGAAAAUGACAAAAAAGUCUGUGACCUUUCAUUACAUUUGCACAGGCAUCAAUGUUUCCAUUACUGAUCACCUUAGACCUAAAGCUGCGUGCUUCCUGUGUAAACAAACAUAGAGCCAGAGAAACAGAGAGCCAGAGAAACAGUAAUAACAAAUGAGAAAGAGAAUAGUGGCUGGGAAAAAUGCAGAGGGGUUCAGAAUUUAAAUAUCACCCACAUCCCAAUCUAGAACAUUGUUCUGUGAACUGAGAACCUUGAUAGGAUCUUCUAUGCAUCAGUCUCUUUGAUGGAGGACCCAACUUUAGUGUAUGGGUUCAAUCAUACACACACUCAACAAGGACUGCUUGGACACCUUGAGCAGGGAACAGUUACGCACUAGAGAUGAAAGAGGGGAGUGAGCCCUUUUGUUCUUUAAGUUUAGGCUGACAUUAACAGAGGACACAAUAAACAAUUAAUUAGUUACAGUGGGUCACAGACUGUGGACAAUUUUAAAAGGCCAUGACAGACUUCUGGGAAGAUGGCAGACUGGUGAACAGCAGAGAAACAGGCUCUCUAAGAUUUGAUGUCAGACGCUGGAACAUAGCAAUGUGAGGAAGAAAAGGAGGGAAGUGGUUUCCCAGGAACCAGCAAGAAUCUGAAGCAAGAAUUGAAGUCCAUGGUGAGAGUGAAGAGAGAGACCUCAAGGCAUUAGAAGGAGGUGGCAAGAAACAAUGUCUCUCUGAGCCCUGACUCACUGCAUGGGAGGAGUGGAUUGAACCUGCAGAAACACAGUGACUACUGGCAACCCCAGAGGCUUCCACAGAGAAAUGCACCAGUGGAAUGAAGCAGUGGACACAACAGACUGCAGUAGCUGAAUGGAUCAGUUUGGAAAGCCUCACUCAAAUGUCCAAAACCUUGAUGAGGAUGCCUAGAUGGUGGGAUCAUCUGGAGCUAUGUGACAGAAUAUCUACUUGAGGCUUCUCCCGCAUGGCAGCUCAAGGUUACCAGUGUGCUCCAAAAGGCCUGAAUAGACGCUGUAAGAUUUUUCCUUU